UACGGAGGGUGCAAGCGUUGUCCGGAUUUAUUGGGUUUAAAGGGUGCGUAGGCGGUUUUUUAAGUCCGGGGUGAAAGCCCACUGCUCAACAGUGGAACUGCCCUGGAAACUGGAGGACUUGAGUACAGACGAGGGUGGCGGAAUGGAUACUGUAGCGGUGAAAUGCAUAGAGAGUAUCCAGAACACCGAUUGCGAAGGCAGCUGCCUAGACUGUAACUGACGCUGAGGCACGAAAGCGUGGGGAGCGAACAGG
This 253-nucleotide ribosomal RNA is filed under the name uncultured bacterium. RNAcentral's name for it is "partial 16S ribosomal RNA". It matches the Rfam family "Bacterial small subunit ribosomal RNA", at positions 524 to 776 of the family's 1533-position model. The record is from RNAcentral.